Callorhinus ursinus (northern fur seal) is the source of this 498-nucleotide non-coding RNA. NCBI's taxonomy places the organism in Eukaryota, Metazoa, Chordata, Mammalia, Carnivora, Otariidae. The record is from RefSeq and is a predicted model, not a curated record.
AAGCGCGGUUAGUGCCGGCGCUAGGCGGUUCGUCCCAUCUAGUGGCUGCUGAGUCCCAUCAAGUGUAGUCAUCACCCUGAGGAUAAUGCUUCUGGGAUCAAGCUCUUCAGAUCAAGAGGAACUGUACUCAAGGAGCUAUAUUUAAGGAACUGUACCCAAGAAGUUCAUCCAUACCUGGAUCUCAAGCCUGAGCCUGAUCGUUUCCCCAGCCUUUGAGCCACCCCAGUUGAUCCUAAGUAGAGCAGAGACAAACUAUCUCCUCUGAGGCCUGUUUAAAUUGCAGAUUCAUGAGCAAAGUAAGUGGUGUUUUGGUCAGUAAGUAUUAGGGUUAUUUUUUUUCAUAUAGCCAUAGUAACUGAAAUAAUUAGGAAGGUAUAUAGUUUCAGAGUUUGUUUUUUAAUUAAGUUUUGGUAAUAAGGUUUUGCUGGUUUCAUGAAAUGAAUUGGGAAACAUUUCAUCUUUUAUUUGGUAUGGAAUAAUUUAAAUAACAUUGUAAUU